GAACGUAUGGCUUAGUAGUCCGAGCGCCAGCUCAGUUUCCAGGAGGCGCGGGUUCGAGUCCCAUUACGUUCA
Molecule: transfer RNA, 72 nt
Filed under: Heliconius melpomene (postman butterfly)
Lineage: Eukaryota; Metazoa; Arthropoda; Insecta; Lepidoptera; Nymphalidae
Description: tRNA HMEL015212
Rfam family: tRNA
About the family: Transfer RNA (tRNA) molecules are approximately 80 nucleotides in length. Their secondary structure includes four short double-helical elements and three loops (D, anti-codon, and T loops).
Source: RNAcentral